Molecule: long non-coding RNA, 3776 nt
Organism: Gorilla gorilla gorilla (western lowland gorilla)
Lineage: Eukaryota; Metazoa; Chordata; Mammalia; Primates; Hominidae
Exons: 3
Source: RefSeq, a predicted model, not a curated record
CAGUAAACACAGCCCGGCAGGAGCAGACAGAAGCCAUUCGUCGAGAGUGGGACCCGGGUGGGAGGCCUUGGCUACACAGACACAGGACCUGAAGAUAAGAUACUGUGGCCUGUCGGUCACCACUCUGUGUGCAUAGCGGUGCAGGUGACAUCAUUACCUUUGGGGAAACUGGGAGAGAUGCUGUGCAGAGUCUGAGCCACCGUGGUCUGUCACACAGACACUGCCUCCCUAAGUGACUGACCCUCAAUAAAAACCUUGGACGCCGAAGCUCAGAUGAACUUUCCCGGCUGAACCUUGGACCCGGAGGCUCAGCUGUCGAGGAUGCCCUGAUGUCUGUUCUCACAUCACAUUGCGCUCCAAGUACCCCGGCUGCAACCAGAGCUCAGCAAACAGGACCAGAGGGCACAUCCACCCUGCCUGCCCAUGUCAACAGAGUUGUGUGGGAGCCAGCCGGCCCCCAGGAAGACCCCAGAUCUUCCUGCCCCCGACCACAGCCCUGUCCCUGGAAGCAUAUGCUGCAGACACUUGCUCUGCUGCAGAUUUUCUGCACAACCCCUCCUCAGGAGGGAAGGUUUGGUACCUGAAUGAGGCAUCUUUUGACCUCUACUCCUAUCACUAUUUUUGGUGACCUCAAUAUUUAUGAAGGUAAUAACUUGGUCUUUAAUCCAGACAAUUUUCACCUCCAGGAAUCUUGUCCUGCAUCUCACUUUUCUUCUUGAGUCCUGUGGUCAUCACCAAAACCUGUCCCUCCUUGGAAACCUCAGUUUAAGCAUCCCACUGUCCGAGGGCACCUCUUUCCUUCCAUUGCCUCAGUUUCAGGUGUCCGGUCCACGGCGCCCCCAUCUUUGCCCAGUCACCAUGUCCAGUCCACUGUGCUCCCAUCUUUACCCAGCCGCUGUGUCCAGUCCAUGGUGCCCCCAUUUUGCCCAGCCACCACCUCUCGUCUGACGCCCCAUCCUCCCCUUGGUGCUGGGCUCCUGCCUGUCCCUCCUCUGUCAAGUGCACCUGGACCUGGGAGUGACCUUGGAGUGACCUUGACCCUGGCAGCUCCAACUCUCAACCCAUCUCAGGGCUGCACCGGAGCCCUUGAAACCUGGCUGGAGGGAAACAGCAAACCCUGCCACCUGUAGUCGCCUAAAAUUCACAGCCACAGUCCUCCAACAGGCCCCACGCUUCCUGCCAGUCCAGCACAUUUCCUGGUUAAUUUAUAAUUCUGUUUUCCGAGGCAGCUAUUUUGCAAUUUCCGGGCUCAACAAAGCCUCCAACAGUUCUUCAGCUUCCUAAUUCCGAGCUGUUGCCCACAUUUGUUUAUCAAAAGAACUUCCGGGCUGGGUGCAGUGGCUCACACCUGUAAUCCCAGCACUUUGGGAGGCCCAGACGGGUGCAUCACCUGAGGCCACGUGUUUGAGACCAGCCUGACCAACAUGGUGAAACCCCAUCUCUAAUACAAAAUACACACACACAAAACUAGCUGGGGGUAGUGGUGGGCAUCUGUAAUCCCAGGUACUCUGGAGGCUGAGGCAUGAGAAUCGUUUGAACCCGGGAGGCUGAGGUUGCGGUGAGCUGAGAUUGCACCACUGCACUCCAGCCUGUGCAGCAGAGGGAGACCCUAUCUAAAAACAAAACAAAACAAAACAAAAUCCAUGUUCUUCCAGCAUCUGUGGCUGCCACAUUCCCUGCCCUCCUUUUAAAGCAGCUGCAAGCAGCUGAGUUCUUAGCCUCAGUGGCAUCACCCCAGGCCCAGCAGUGAGUGUGGCUUCCACGCUUUUCAUGGAGCAAAGAAGAAAGGAGCUUCCUGGCCCCCCUGACUCUGGAACCCUCACAUCUCCAUCCUUCCCAUCCCCAGGCUGUGCCUGGGCACCAUCUCCCCGGAGAGACCCUGCGUGCCCCAUCUAAAUCUGCAUUCCACCUCUGCCCCCCUCCGUGGGUGCUCAGCCCCCGCAUGCUCCAUCUAAAUCCACAUCCCACCUCUGCCCCCCUCCGUGGGUGCUCAGCCCCCACGCACCCCAUCUAAAUCCACAUCCCACCUCUGUCCCCUUCUUUGGGUGCUCAGCCCCCGCAUGCUCCAUCUAAACUCGAAUCCCACCUCUGCCCCCCUCCGUGGGUGCUCAGCUUGCCUUAUUUUUCUUCAGAGCCAUGACCACUUCCCAGCAUAACGUGCAUGUGUUUCUGUUUUAUGCAUGGAUGUUUAUGUUCCAUGAGAACCAACACUGGGCUGGUUUGUUCACGUUUGGACUCAAAGCCUGGCACAUGUACAUCUGGUGUCUGUGUCUGGCACUGCUUUUGAGGCUUGGGAAAGGCGGAUAAAGUCUCUCAAUCGCAUCCCCAGUGCUGAGACAGUCCACGUACACAUCCACGUGAGGCUUUAAGACACUGAUGCACUUCAGCUGCAGGGACUGUCAAAUCCAAGCUCAGGAGAGAAUGAUGUGGUUUCCAAGAUAAAUGCCAGAUACGUGCUUCUCCCCACCCAGGACUCUGCUGCUUUUAUGGAAAUACACAUUGCUGUGGGGGAGGAAAGAAGGCUGAACAGAUCAUGUUGCAGUGUGGAUAUGGGUUUUGGCUGAUAAGGGCUGUGAUCGUUGGCUCUUGGAGCUGUCCCUGACAAGGUGUCAAGGGUCCUGAGAUGCUAACGUGCGUGGUGAGGUCGGAGUCUCUCUAAGAUCCUGCAAGUGACACGGGUCACAUUCCCUGGGGAGGGUCCUCCAGAGGCUGGUCCACUGGGUGGACGCCUGGGCCCCCGAGAUAGGGGACUUCUCUUCCACCACUGGCCUGGCUCAAAGGACAGAUGCCCUCUGGAGAUGUGGCACUUAAGCUACCGUGACAGGGGAUGGGUGCUGACAAGCAGAUCCUAGUUCAGAUUUUGACACAAGACGGUCAGGAGGAGCCUGGGCCGGUGGGGGGUGGUGCUGAGGUCAGCGGUGGAGGAACAGGGCGAGAAUCACACCGGAAAACAAAUGCCUCGCUCAGCGACUCCACAGUCCUGCCCUGGGUUGACUGAUGAUUUUAGACAUUUUAAGAAAUUUCAUAGGGUUUUUUGUAGAUUUGACAGGUCUUUUCUUGUUGCAGCAGGAAGUAAAAAUGAUAGGACUAAGCAAGGAAAAACAGUUUAUAAAGAGGAGCCCACGCUGCCGUGACAUUCUCAUCAUUGCUAGAGACGGGCGGCUUCUCAGAGGCGUGUCCUCCCCCCCUCGGGGGAGCAGCGGGCUUCUGAUUGUUAAAGGACCCUGGGCUCCGCAUCAGAUCUGUGUAAGUGAGGAAUCCCACUGCGUGGACGGCAGGUGAAAACUGUCAGUGUAAACAACCUAUUUUCAUAUCUAGGACAAAGGUUAAGAUGUGAGAUUUUCUUCUUCCAAGGCCAACUUGGAUUACUUAUCUAACAAAUCCUUAGAUUCCCAGACUAGUCAGCUCCCUAACGCAUUUCUCUAAAAAUUCCUGAAAAGAAAAGAGAGCCAAAUGUUUGUGUUUUUCUGGACCCCCCAGCUGAAGCCUGUUCCUGAAAUGAGCCUUGAAAAGAAUGGGAUCUGCUUUUUCCCUUGUUCCUGCCAAGAGGUCAGGAGUGAUUAUUAGAAACAUUAUUUGAUCAAAACCACAAUCGUUUUAGUAGAGCAGCAAAAGUUUAACAACUUCUUUCACCCAUCACAUGCAGCAGAAAAUCAGACGAGAAGGAUGCCUUUCAACGACCCUGGUGCACCCUGGGUCAUCACGAGGCGCACCCUGGAUCGUCACGCACGCGUGAACACACGGGGGGCACCCUGGGUCGUCACACAUGCGUGAAC